GGGUAUAGCUCAAGUGGUAGAGCACAUGCUUAGCACGCAUGAGGUCCUGCAUUCAAUUCCCAGUAUGUCCU
This 71-nucleotide transfer RNA is filed under the name Camelus bactrianus (Bactrian camel). It matches the Rfam family "tRNA". Rfam says of the family: Transfer RNA (tRNA) molecules are approximately 80 nucleotides in length. Their secondary structure includes four short double-helical elements and three loops (D, anti-codon, and T loops). Lineage: Eukaryota; Metazoa; Chordata; Mammalia; Artiodactyla; Camelidae. The record is from Rfam by way of RNAcentral. RNAcentral also lists the same sequence under 2 other names.